Long non-coding RNA from Cyanistes caeruleus (blue tit), 640 nucleotides. RefSeq lists it as uncharacterized. NCBI's taxonomy places the organism in Eukaryota, Metazoa, Chordata, Aves, Passeriformes, Paridae. The record is from RefSeq and is a predicted model, not a curated record.
GGUGUCAUGUAUGGGUCCCCCCAUGUGGUGUCUGUCCCCCAUCACCCCAGUUCUCUGUGGCUCUACCUGUUUCCAUUUAUACCAGACUGAACUUCUUUGCUUUGCCAUGAAUUCUUAGCACUGGGGACAGACACACGUGAUGGUGAAUGGCACAUACCUUAGGUUAUAUGCAGAAAUUUGAACUCCUGCUGCUGUCACAAUUCCUCAGAUUAAAUGUUUGGCAAUCCAAUUAAAGCAUAUGUCCACAGAGCUUGCAAUUUCAAGAUUACAAACCCUGUUCACAGAUAGAGAAACCUAAUGCACAAUACCAUCCACUCCUGUAAAUGUUAAACAUCUGAAAAUGUUUGUGUAGCUGUCUAAGAGAACUGUAAAUCUGCUGAACUUCCCAGAUUUCACUCUAGAUGCCAGAGACCAGGAGUGUGCUGGCUGGAGGGAAGGCAUAUUCAUACUUCCAGGAGUUGAUUGAUCUAAGUACAUGAGUUAAAAGGCUAUGCAACCUCUUUAAUAUUGUGUUCUGGUGAUACCCAAGGAACUCUCGGCAGUUUGACAAACUUGUGUAAAAUUGUCAGUGAGAUCCAGAUUUGCACAAAUGGAAGCAGAUGGUAAACCAACUAGCAGUUCUGGGAGACAGGCAUCAGGA